GGCUUGGGCUGCCCUGCCUGAACUGCUCACUCCUGCCAGGCCAAGCCAAGCCAAGCCAGGGGCUCCUUGCCUCAUUUGGCUGCCUCUUCUGUGCCCUCUGAGUUUCCUGGGCUCCUUCUACUGGCAAGAAAGGCAGUGCCAUAGACAGAGACCCCCCAGUGGAAUGCUCAAGGCCAGGCUGGGAAGGAGAGGGCUCUUGACCUCUGCGGGCGGGCAGCAGCAGCUCUGAGCAAGAACUCCAGCUCCAGAGGAGAAAAUGAAACUGAAAUCCUGCCCACGGAAAGCUCGUCCAACUGGAGCGCUCCUUUAAUCCAUGUACUAAUUUAUUCAGAGCACAACAGCUGCAGGAGGAGAGGCCCAGAAGAGGGGAGCCUAGGCUGGGGCCUGGGGCCUGUGAGAGAGGGGAAUCCUGGGCCGCCAAGCAGGGUAGGGAAGCACAGGCCUCCUCAGGCCUCCUGUGGUGGGCAGGCCAGGCCUAGCAGAGACAGCUCACUGGAGGGAAGGCAGGAAGAGAAGGGCUCCUGGAGGGUCCAGUGGGGUAGUGAGGGUCCAGUCCCGUCUUCUCCUCAUUCAUCUUCUUUUCCUCCUCUUCCUUUCCUAUGCUUCACUGUCUCCUCUUGCUUCCCCUUCCCUUUCCUUCCUUUUCUUUUAUUCACCCCUUCAUCUUCCUCCUGGCCUUCAUUUUCACUCAGGACCUUCUCCAAUUUCCAGAGGCCAACCUGACCCCCCCACCCCCAGGACUUCUUCAAGAGGCCACCCCCACCUUGGACUAAUACCUUCUGCUUCCUGACCAGAUACUUCCCACCAUGCCUCCACCUGCUCCUGCCUAUAGGAAAGUUGGCCUUCUGGCCCUCAAAGGAUGCAAAGGAUACCAAGUGUGAUGAGGAUGGGCCUUGAGGGAGGUCCUUGGACAGUCUCCUCACCUGCUUUUUCAACAUAGAAAAUCCCACCAUAAGGCGUCCACUCUUCUCCCAUUGGUUCUCUGAGGUUCGUGGACACAACGCUCACCUACUGACUCUACGCCUUCCUUUGCGCUGGGCAUCCCCAGGCCUGGAUGCUCGACAUUGUCACUUCAGCUUUUUUCAAGACUCAGCUGAAAUCCCAUGAUCUGCACAAGCCUUUCCUACCCCCCACUUUGGCCUGCUGGUGCCUUUGCCCUGAGAUGACCUUCUAUUUGUAUUCUGUGUGUCGUGUGUUUGCAUGUUGUCUCCCCCAUUAGAAUGGGAGCUACUUGGGGACAAUGUUUUGCCUCUCUUUGUAUCCCUCA
Phascolarctos cinereus (koala) is the source of this 1267-nucleotide non-coding RNA. The record is from RefSeq and is a predicted model, not a curated record. NCBI's taxonomy places the organism in Eukaryota, Metazoa, Chordata, Mammalia, Diprotodontia, Phascolarctidae.